CCAGGUGGCUGCAACUGUUUAUUAAAAACACAGCACUGUGCAAAAUCGUAAGAUGACGUAUACGGUGUGACGCCUGCCCGGUGCCGGAAGGUUAAUUGAUGGGGUUAGCGUAAGCGAAGCUCUUGAUCGAAGCCCCGGUAAACGGCGGCCGUAACUAUAACGGUCCUAAGGUAGCGAAAUUCCUUGUCGGGUAAGUUCCGACCUGCACGAAUGGCGUAAUGAUGGCCACGCUGUCUCCACCCGAGACUCAGUGAAAUUGAAAUCGCUGUGAAGAUGCAGUGUACCCGCGGCUAGACGGAAAGACCCCGUGAACCUUUACUACAGCUUGGCACUGAACAUUGAACCUACAUGUGUAGGAUAGGUGGGAGGCUUUGAAGACGUGACGCCAGUUGCGUUGGAGCCGUCCUUGAAAUACCACCCUUGUAUGUUUGAUGUUCUAACGUUGGCCCCUAAUCGGGGUUGCGGACAGUGCCUGGUGGGUAGUUUGACUGGGGCGGUCUCCUCCCAAAGAGUAACGGAGGAGCACGAAGGUGGGCUAAUCACGGUUGGACAUCGUGAGGUUAGUGCAAUGGCAUAAGCCCGCUUAACUGCGAGAAUGACGGUUCGAGCAGGUGCGAAAGCAGGUCAUAGUGAUCCGGUGGUUCUGAAUGGAAGGGCCAUCGCUCAACGGAUAAAAGGUACUCCGGGGAUAACAGGCUGAUACCGCCCAAGAGUUCAUAUCGACGGCGGUGUUUGGCACCUCGAUGUCGGCUCAUCACAUCCUGGGGCUGAAGUCGGUCCCAAGGGUAUGGCUGUUCGCCAUUUAAAGUGGUACGCGAGCUGGGUUUAGAACGUCGUGAGACAGUUCGGUCCCUAUCUGCCGUGGGCGUUGGAAGAUUGAAGGGGGCUGCUCCUAGUACGAGAGGACCGGAGUGGACGAACCUCUGGUGUUCGGGUUGUGUCGCCAGACGCAUUGCCCGGUAGCUAAGUUCGGAAUCGAUAACCGCUGAAAGCAUCUAAGCGGGAAGCGAGCCCUGAGAUGAGUCUU
Molecule: ribosomal RNA, 1027 nt
Filed under: Vibrio vulnificus
Lineage: Bacteria; Pseudomonadati; Pseudomonadota; Gammaproteobacteria; Vibrionales; Vibrionaceae
Description: partial 23S ribosomal RNA
Rfam family: Bacterial large subunit ribosomal RNA
Source: RNAcentral